RNAcentral lists this ribosomal RNA (331 nucleotides) under uncultured eukaryote. RNAcentral's name for it is "partial 18S ribosomal RNA". It matches the Rfam family "Eukaryotic small subunit ribosomal RNA", at positions 1470 to 1796 of the family's 1831-position model. The record is from RNAcentral.
CCCUUAGAUGUUCUGGGCCGCACACGCGCUACACUGGCAGGUUCAUCGAGCUUCAUGCCCUGAUCUGAGAAGAACGGGAAAUCUUUGAACACCUGCCGUGCUUGGGAUAGAUGUUUGCAAUUAUUCAUCUUCAACGAGGAUUGCCUUGUAAGCGCACGUCAUCAGCGUGCAUUGAAUACAACCCUGUAUUCUGUACACACCGCCCGUCGCUCCUACCGAUUGAAGUUUUCGGUGAAUUUACUGGAGAUCCCUUUUGAAGGUGGUUCGCCACUGGAAGAAGUAUUCAAAAGUAAAUGAAUCGAAUGCUUUAGAGGAAGGAGAAGUCGUAACA